AGAAGUGUUCCAAGGAGGGUCAGAGUUCGUAUUGCUCGCAAGAGGAAUGACGAUGAAGAUGCGAAGGAGGACCUCUACUCUUUGGUUACAGUAACUGAGAUCCCACCAGAGGGAUUGAAGGGGCUUGGCACUAAGAUCAUUGAGGACGAAGAUUAAGCUAUCUAUCAGUAGUGGAGAAUGAUUAAAAAAAAAUACAUGAUGUUUUUGUAAUUCUUUGAGACUGAUCAAUUUUGUUAGGAAACUUAAUUUUGUUUUUUUGGAUCAUCCUAUUUGCCAUCAGUUUAAUUGAAUCAUCUUUUCUGUUCUUCAUGGUUUAAGUAUCACUGCCGUCAUUACGUUUUGUUAUGUUAUUACUUGUUGCUUUUGUUUCUGAAUGUAGUACCUACUGUUACUUUUGUAUUUUUGCUUCGGUUUUCCGAUUGGUAUGCUUGUUGUCCUUUUACCUUUUUUGAGCCGAGGGUCUAUCGGAAAUAGCCUUUCGGCCUUCUUGAAGGUAGGGGUUAAGGCCUACGUACACUCUACCUUUCC
This 528-nucleotide long non-coding RNA is filed under the name Nicotiana tabacum (common tobacco). Its description in RNAcentral is "long non-coding RNA (NTAB_LNC001394)". Lineage: Eukaryota; Viridiplantae; Streptophyta; Magnoliopsida; Solanales; Solanaceae. The record is from RNAcentral.